UCCCUGAUGGUCCAGUGGUUAAGAUUUAGUGCAUUCACUCCUGUGGUCUAGGUUCAAUUCCUUGUCAGAGAA
Molecule: transfer RNA, 72 nt
Filed under: Ovis aries (sheep)
Lineage: Eukaryota; Metazoa; Chordata; Mammalia; Artiodactyla; Bovidae
Rfam family: tRNA
About the family: Transfer RNA (tRNA) molecules are approximately 80 nucleotides in length. Their secondary structure includes four short double-helical elements and three loops (D, anti-codon, and T loops).
Source: Rfam by way of RNAcentral